UGUAAUCAUUUUAUUCAUUCCAUUCAAUUAUAGUCAUUCAAUGAAUGAAAUCCAUAUUCUUUUGCUCUUGAAUUUCUAAUAAAUAUUUCAUAAGAUACAUGGCUUCUUUGUUUAUUGUUGAUUAUUUUCCAAUGAGGCGACAAGACUUUAUUGUCUACAAUCCUUCCAAUACACGAUAGUUUGAAUAGGAUUGUUUUACACCAUGAUACCAUUAUUCUAACAUGCACAAUGGCAAACUUUAUGUCCACCUCUGAUUUUGCAUACUCCAUUAUUACAGAAGUUUUCUUGUACACACUUCUCAUUGCAUGAAGCAUCUUUACAAUUAUCGUCCAUAUAGUCUUUGCAACACUUGUUUUCUGAACUUCCUGAAAAUAAUUAACAUUUAUAAUUUGACAAAGAAUUUAGUAGAAGGUUCAUGGAAUAUCAUAUUUUUAACAUGGCAUACAAGAAAUUUUACACGAAGAUUUUUAUGCAAAGAUAUUUCUUAUAAGACAAUAUGACUGACAAAUAGCAAUCCCAACUUAUUAACAUUAUAGUUAAUAUCAUCACAAUAAAGUAUUAGGAAAUAAGAUGUUCACAAAUAUAAAUAAACUAUUGUCUAUCAAAAAAUAGUCUAAUGAUUCAACAGAAAAUCAUUUAUUUAGUAAAAAAGUAAUAGUAUUAGCUUUAGUGAAAAAUGAAAAUGAAAAUAAGUAGGGUCACAAUGAAGUAAAACCUGGUUGUAGUAUAAUUAGUAAGAUGAAGAGGGAACAUAGAAAUGCUCUCUUAGCCAUGAUAACUUUGAAUUGUGUCAUGUUUUUUUCCUUUGAAUUUUUUUAGAC
RNAcentral lists this long non-coding RNA (821 nucleotides) under Lupinus angustifolius (narrow-leaved blue lupine). RNAcentral describes it as "long non-coding RNA (LANG_LNC000050)". Lineage: Eukaryota; Viridiplantae; Streptophyta; Magnoliopsida; Fabales; Fabaceae. The record is from RNAcentral.